Molecule: long non-coding RNA, 785 nt
Filed under: Musa acuminata (dwarf banana)
Lineage: Eukaryota; Viridiplantae; Streptophyta; Magnoliopsida; Zingiberales; Musaceae
Description: long non-coding RNA (MACU_LNC000418)
Source: RNAcentral
GGCAGAUGGCUUCUGACAUGUAACACAAGCCCUUAGACUAUAGCCUGGGCUGUAUUCUUCCAUCACAGGCCUUCUUCACUCUUUAGAGAAUGCCAACCAAUCUCCUGACAUAACAAGACAUGCCGCCCCCACUAAGCUACAUGCAUGUGAGACAGACAAGAGGACGUGAGCAGUGCCCCCAUGUCUCAGCAUUUGGCUUGCUGCCUGUGGAGUUGCAUUAGCUGCUAGUGUUUGUAGGAUGCAUGGCUCAGCAGAUGCUCCACCAUAAAGUCUGUUCUGGCACUGCUGCAACGCAAUAAUUUCUUUCCAAUGUCGAAUGAGGCGGUGCAGCAGAUUGCUCGACAUGGGGGCACAACGUCUCUCACCUCACAGCUUCUUGCCUGUCCUUGCUUCAACAAUAAUGUAAGCUUUCUUCGAGCGUCAGGACAUCUCCAUCUGCAUCAUGACAUGCAUGUAUGUGAGAGCAAAUCUGAGCCCAGCAGAAGCUUCAAGUUAAAUGAGCAGCUUCAAUGGCCUUUCUAAUAAAGAACUGGUCCUACUUAUGGGUGGUCUUAAAAAGUUUAAUUAAACUCAGUUGUAAACAUGAAUGGUGAGCAAUAAUAACCAAUUCCAGAAGCAUAUCUCACUGUCUCAAUGAGCAAAUGAAGAGGCAGCUAGAAACUAGAUGAUGAAAACUUACUAGUUGAAUUUUUUUUGUCAGUCACUUGUAUCAAUGCAUUUCACAUGCUCAGUUUCAAGUGCAAAUACUGAAACACCAGGCAUGGAUGAUAAUAGUGUAGUAAGAC